UUUUUUCAUUUUCUUUCUUCUUCCUUAUCCUUUUCUCUCUUUCUCAGCCUCACCCGCCGCUUCGCCCGUCAUCGGCGAUCGCAGCACUCGCCCGCCGCCGCCGCUCCACCAGUCCACCCACAGCGCGAGCAGCGUGCUCAGCAUGUACACCAGUAGCCUCCCCGCCAGCCGUGGCGCCGACCGAUAGUCCACCCCGCCGUCCCGCAUCAGCCCUAACAAGAACCCCUCGUCGUGCGGCACCCUCCUUGUGUAGCACAGCCACCUCGCCGCCGAGGCGCUUCUGCGGGACUCGCCCGUGCCGGCGUCGGUGUCCUCGCCGCCCCCCCCCCCCCCCCACAUCGUCCGUGGCCCUGUGGAAGUAGAUGCGGCGGGAGUCCUCCUCGAACGCGACGGCGGUGACGUCGCCCGCGCGGAGGCCAGUCAAGAGGUCCGAGUAGGCCACCUCCUUGGCUGCAUUCUUGGGCAGCGCGAGGCGGACAGCGAGGAGGAGGAACGCCAGGACGAUGGGCGCCACCCACCGCCCUUCCCAGUAGUCACAUCUAGCCUCCUCCCCUCCUCCUGCCAUUGAUGGAUGCUUACCUAAUUUGCCGGAAGUGACGACGGACCGGAGCGCGGCGUUCCACAGCGCGUCGACAGGGUAAAACCAGAGGAGGUUGAAGAGAAACAAGGUGAGCACGGCGCAGACGAGCCAAGCGGAGACGACUCUAUUGAGGAAGCUGCAAAGGUUGCUGGUGGUGGUGGUGGUGGUGGUCGCCGGAGUUGGACACGACAGCCGGGUGGCGCCGUGGCCCGUGACGCGGUGGCUCGCGCGUGGCCAUAGCUAGCGCGUACGACGAGGACGACGAGGUCGUACGACGUCGAACAGGCUACCUGUUCAACCGAAUGCAGCAGGGAGACAACUCUCAGCUUGAUCGUGUUUGCAACUAUGCACCAACAGUGUCUCCAGUGGGCUGAGUUCUGCACUAUCCACCUGUAUAUGUAUUGGUCAAGAAAGUGAGCACAGAUGUAUGUAUUCAGUUCUGAAAUGAUUACUUGUUAAUAGUUAUUAUCAGUCUGCCGUAGUUUUGAUUCUUUCUUCUUGAGAGAGCUAUAUUAUGCUUGUAAGAUUGUGGCAAGCUUGGAUUCUUUAUUCUACUUGCGCAUUACUACUUACUUUACAUACCAUCUGAAUUCUGUUGUACCACCUUUCUAAGUAGGAUCAUUUUCACUCUCAUCUAGAAUGCACGCACGUUAAUGUUUAGUUUGAUCACCAUCUUUAUCCCAUAUAUGUGAUGCUGUGCAAAAACUGAACAAGGGAUAGACGGGUGGGAGGCGAGGAGAUGGCGGAUCCGGCCGCCGCUCCGCACCCCACGUGCGCGGAUCCAGCUGCGCUGGGGUGUGUCCGAUGUGGAUGCGGGCGGCAUGACGGCGGAUCCAGCGUGGUUCUUGCACGGGUAAUGGCGGACACGACUGUGACGAGCGACUGCGGGCGGGAGGCGAGGCGGCGGCGGAUCCGGCCACCACUCUGCCCCACGCACACGGCGCGACCUCCGCGGCGGCGAGCCUAGACUCCGAUGGAUAUGGAGGAGCAGCAGCGGCCACCUCCAUGACGCGCCACUGUCAAUGUCCGGAGCAAGCGCCAAUAAAAAUUUAACUUAUUCUUAUAGAUUGUGAGGAUGUAUAUGUUCAGUCAAAAUUUUCUUGUCAUACCAAGUUAAUUUUUUACUCUGUAAGGAUACCAAGCAUAUGAUGUAUAUGGAAAGGGGUUUCUAAUGAAUACAUAGCGCCGGCUUUAUUAAGAGGAA
Oryza sativa Japonica Group (Japanese rice) is the source of this 1784-nucleotide long non-coding RNA. RefSeq lists it as uncharacterized. NCBI's taxonomy places the organism in Eukaryota, Viridiplantae, Streptophyta, Magnoliopsida, Poales, Poaceae. The record is from RefSeq and is a predicted model, not a curated record.